This 2280-nucleotide ribosomal RNA is filed under the name Salmonella enterica subsp. enterica serovar Typhimurium. RNAcentral describes it as "bacterial LSU rRNA". It matches the Rfam family "Bacterial large subunit ribosomal RNA", at positions 600 to 2874 of the family's 2925-position model. Lineage: Bacteria; Pseudomonadati; Pseudomonadota; Gammaproteobacteria; Enterobacterales; Enterobacteriaceae. The record is from RNAcentral.
CGUACCUUUUGUAUAAUGGGUCAGCGACUUAUAUUCUGUAGCAAGGUUAACCGUAUAGGGGAGCCGGAGGGAAACCGAGUCUUAACCGGGCGUUAAGUUGCAGGGUAUAGACCCGAAACCCGGUGAUCUAGCCAUGGGCAGGUUGAAGGUUGGGUAACACUAACUGGAGGACCGAACCGACUAAUGUUGAAAAAUUAGCGGAUGACCUGUGGCUGGGGGUGAAAGGCCAAUCAAACCGGGAGAUAGCUGGUUCUCCCCGAAAGCUAUUUAGGUAGCGCCUCGUGAAUUCAUCUCCGGGGGUAGAGCACUGUUUCGGCUAGGGGGCCAUCCCGGCUUACCAACCCGAUGCAAACUGCGAAUACCGGAGAAUGUUAUCACGGGAGACACACGGCGGGUGCUAACGUCCGUCGUGAAGAGGGAAACAACCCAGACCGCCAGCUAAGGUCCCAAAGUCAUGGUUAAGUGGGAAACGAUGUGGGAAGGCCCAGACAGCCAGGAUGUUGGCUUAGAAGCAGCCAUCAUUUAAAGAAAGCGUAAUAGCUCACUGGUCGAGUCGGCCUGCGCGGAAGAUGUAACGGGGCUAAACCAUGCACCGAAGCUGCGGCAGCGANNNNNNNNNNNNNNNNNNNNNNNNNNNNNNNNNNNNNNNNNNNNNUGCUGGAGGUAUCAGAAGUGCGAAUGCUGACAUAAGUAACGAUAAAGCGGGUGAAAAGCCCGCUCGCCGGAAGACCAAGGGUUCCUGUCCAACGUUAAUCGGGGCAGGGUGAGUCGACCCCUAAGGCGAGGCCGAAAGGCGUAGUCGAUGGGAAACGGGUUAAUAUUCCCGUACUUGGUGUUACUGCGAAGGGGGGACGGAGAAGGCUAUGUUGGCCGGGCGACGGUUGUCCCGGUUUAAGCGUGUAGGUGUGUGUUCCAGGUAAAUCCGGUUCACUUUAACACUGAGGCGUGACGACGAGGCACUACGGUGCUGAAGCAACAAAUGCCCUGCUUCCAGGAAAAGCCUCUAAGCAUCAGGUAACACGAAAUCGUACCCCAAACCGACACAGGUGGUCAGGUAGAGAAUACCAAGGCGCUUGAGAGAACUCGGGUGAAGGAACUAGGCAAAAUGGUGCCGUAACUUCGGGAGAAGGCACGCUGACACGUAGGUGAAGUGAUUUACUCAUGGAGCUGAAGUCAGUCGAAGAUACCAGCUGGCUGCAACUGUUUAUUAAAAACACAGCACUGUGCAAACACGAAAGUGGACGUAUACGGUGUGACGCCUGCCCGGUGCCGGAAGGUUAAUUGAUGGGGUCAGCGCAAGCGAAGCUCCUGAUCGAAGCCCCGGUAAACGGCGGCCGUAACUAUAACGGUCCUAAGGUAGCGAAAUUCCUUGUCGGGUAAGUUCCGACCUGCACGAAUGGCGUAAUGAUGGCCAGGCUGUCUCCACCCGAGACUCAGUGAAAUUGAACUCGCUGUGAAGAUGCAGUGUACCCGCGGCAAGACGGAAAGACCCCGUGAACCUUUACUAUAGCUUGACACUGAACAUUGAGCCUUGAUGUGUAGGAUAGGUGGGAGGCUUUGAAGUGUGGACGCCAGUCUGCAUGGAGCCGACCUUGAAAUACCACCCUUUAAUGUUUGAUGUUCUAACGUGGACCCGUAAUCCGGGUUGCGGACAGUGUCUGGUGGGUAGUUUGACUGGGGCGGUCUCCUCCUAAAGAGUAACGGAGGAGCACGAAGGUUGGCUAAUCCUGGUCGGACAUCAGGAGGUUAGUGCAAUGGCAUAAGCCAGCUUGACUGCGAGCGUGACGGCGCGAGCAGGUGCGAAAGCAGGUCAUAGUGAUCCGGUGGUUCUGAAUGGAAGGGCCAUCGCUCAACGGAUAAAAGGUACUCCGGGGAUAACAGGCUGAUACCGCCCAAGAGUUCAUAUCGACGGCGGUGUUUGGCACCUCGAUGUCGGCUCAUCACAUCCUGGGGCUGAAGUAGGUCCCAAGGGUAUGGCUGUUCGCCAUUUAAAGUGGUACGCGAGCUGGGUUUAGAACGUCGUGAGACAGUUCGGUCCCUAUCUGCCGUGGGCGCUGGAGAACUGAGGGGGGCUGCUCCUAGUACGAGAGGACCGGAGUGGACGCAUCACUGGUGUUCGGGUUGUCAUGCCAAUGGCACUGCCCGGUAGCUAAAUGCGGAAGAGAUAAGUGCUGAAAGCAUCUAAGCACGAAACUUGCCCCGAGAUGAGUUCUCCCUGAGACUUAGAGUCUCCUGAAGGAACGUUGAAGACGACGACGUUGAUAGGCCGGGUGUGUAAGC